This 253-nucleotide ribosomal RNA is filed under the name uncultured bacterium. Its description in RNAcentral is "partial 16S ribosomal RNA". It matches the Rfam family "Bacterial small subunit ribosomal RNA", at positions 524 to 776 of the family's 1533-position model. The record is from RNAcentral.
GACAGAGGGUGCAAACGUUGUUCGGAUUUACUGGGCGUAAAGCGCGUGUAGGCGGCUUUGCAAGUCGGAUGUGAAAGCCCACGGCUCAACCGUGGAAGUGCAUCCGAAACUGCAUGGCUGGAGUCUCGGAGAGGAAGGUGGAAUGCUUGGUGUAGAGGUGAAAUUCGUAGAUAUCAAGCAGAACACCUGCGGCGAAGGCGGCCCUCUGGACGAUGACUGACGCUGAGACGCGAAAGCGUGGGGAGCAAACAGG